CAUGAAGACCAUCCCAGAGCGUGAAGCUGAGCUGGAAACUUCCAAACUCGCUCUGAAAGAGCUAUCUGAUGCGGCCCAGCCGAUAGCGGAUAUGGUUGAGGGUGUAGAGCCCCAUCCGCUGUCUGAAGUACUCAAGGACGUGCCAGUGAAAUUCAUCGGCUAUAUUCAGAAGAUGGUGAAGUCUGCCUCAAGCAACUAAUAAGUUUUGUCAAAUGCUUCUAUCCUAAAGCUGAUCUGAC
RNAcentral lists this long non-coding RNA (239 nucleotides) under Setaria italica (foxtail millet). RNAcentral's name for it is "long non-coding RNA (SITA_LNC004531)". Lineage: Eukaryota; Viridiplantae; Streptophyta; Magnoliopsida; Poales; Poaceae. The record is from RNAcentral.